This 1694-nucleotide ribosomal RNA is filed under the name Hemicriconemoides chitwoodi. RNAcentral's name for it is "SSU rRNA". It matches the Rfam family "Eukaryotic small subunit ribosomal RNA". The record is from RNAcentral. Lineage: Eukaryota; Metazoa; Nematoda; Chromadorea; Rhabditida; Criconematidae.
UAUAAGUACACGCCUUAACAAGGUGAAACCGCGAACGGCUCAUUACAACAGCUAUAAUCUACUCGGUCUUGAACAGUUACUCGGAUAACUGUGGUAAUUCUAGAGCUAAUACGUGCACCGAGGCUGCUCCUCGCGGGGCAGUGCAUUUGUUGGAGCAAAACCAGGCGGCUUCGGCCGUUUUUGCUGACUCAGAACAACUCAGCUGAUCGCAUGGGCUUGUCCCGGCGACGUACCGUCCGAGUGUCUGCCUUAUCAACUUUCGAUGGUAGUGUACGUGACUACCAUGGUUGUGACGGGUAACGGAGGAUAAGGGUUCGACUCCGGAGAAGGGGCCUGAGAAAUGGCCACUACGUCUAAGGAUGGCAGCAGGCGCGCAAAUUACCCACUCUCGGUUCGAGGAGGUAGUGACGAAAAAUAACAAGGCUGUUCUCUACGAGGCCAGCCAUUGGAAUGGGUACAACACAAACCCUUUAACGAGUAUCAAUGAGAGGGCAAGUCUGGUGCCAGCAGCCGCGGUAAUUCCAGCUCUCAAAAUGCAUAGAACCAUUGCUGCGGUUAAAAAGCUCGUAGUUGGAUCUGUGCCGGCGACGUGGUCCACCCUAACGGGCGGUACUGCGCUCGUCGGCUUUGGGCCGGUCUUCGUGCGGUGGCCUUCACUGGUCGCCGUCCGUGGCUGGCUGGUUUACUUUGAGCAAAUCAGAGUGCUCAGCACAGGCGUUUCGCCGGAAUGUUCGUGCAUGGAAUAAUAGAAAAGGAUUUCGGUCCUCUUUUAUUGGUUUUGUGGACUGAGAUAAUGGUUAACAGAGACGAACGGGGGCAUUCGUAUUGCUGCGUGAGAGGUGAAAUUCUUGGACCGCAGCAGGACGGACUACAGCGAAAGCAUUUGCCAAGCGCGUCUUCAUUAAUCAAGAACGAAAGUCAGAGGUUCGAAGGCGAUCAGAUACCGCCCUAGUUCUGACCGUAAACGAUGCCAACUAGCGAUCCGACGGCGGCUUUCAGGCCCUGUUGGGGAGCUUCCCGGAAACGAAAGUCUUCCGGUUCCGGGGGAAGUAUGGUUGCAAAGCUGAAACUUAAAGGAAUUGACGGAAGGGCACCACCAGGAGUGGAGCCUGCGGCUUAAUUUGACUCAACACGGGAAAACUCACCCGGCCCGGACACCGUGAGGAUUGACAGAUUGAUAGCUUUUUCAUGAUUCGGUGGUUGGUGGUGCAUGGCCGUUCUUAGUUCGUGGAUCGAUUUGUCUGGUUUAUUCCGAUAACGAGCGAGACUCCAGCCUACUAACUAGUGCGGGCGUUGUCUCUGCGCUUGUCACUUCUUAGAGGGAUUGGCUGCGCCUAGCGGCACGAAACGGAGCAAUAACAGGUCUGUGAUGCCCUUAGAUGUCCGGGGCUGCACGCGCGCUACACUGGCAAAGGCAGCGUGCUUGUCCGCCUCCGAAAGGAGCCGGUAAACCCUUGAAAAUUUGCCGUGAUUGGGAUCGGAAAUUGCAAUUAUUUUCCGUGAACGAGGAAUUCCUAGUAAGUGCGAGUCAUCAGCUCGCGUUGAUUACGUCCCUGCCCUUUGUACACACCGCCCGUCGCUGCCUAGAACUGAGCCAUUUCGAGAAUAUUCGGGAUCGCUGGUUGCGGGCCUUUCGGGGCACGCCUCUGGCAAGAGAACGAACGUAAUCGCAGUGGCUUGAACCGGGCAAAAGU